UUAGCUCACUGGUCUAGUCGGCCCGCGCGGAAGAUUUAACGGGGCUCAAGCCAUGAGCCGAAGCUGCGGAUCUGCACGCAAGUGCAGGUGGUAGGGGAGCGUUCUGUACGCCUGCGAAGGUGCACUGUGAGGUGUGCUGGAGGUAUCAGAAGUGCGAAUGCUGACAUGAGUAACGUUAAUGCGGGUGAAAAACCCGCACGCCGAAAACCCAAGGUUUCCUGCUCAACGUUAAUCGGAGCAGGGUGAGCCGGUUCCUAAGACGAGACCGAAAGGUGUAGCCGAUGGAAAACAGGUCAACAUUCCUGUGCCCGGUGUGAUUGCGAUGGGGUGACGGAGAAGGCUAGUUCAGCAGGGGUUGGUUCCCUGUUUAAGCAUGUAGGAGGAGUUGCCAGGCAAAUCCGGCAGCUCUUAACUCCGAGGUGUGAUGACGAGGCUCCACGCGAGCCGAAGUGAAUAACGCCCCGCUUCCAGGAAAAGCCUCUAAGCUUCAGAUCACAUUGGACCGUACCGUAAACCGACACUGGUGGGUGAGCAGAUAAUCUGCCAAGGCGCUUGAGAGAACUCGGGUUAAGGAACUCUGCAAAUUGAUACCGUAACUUCGGAAGAAGGUAUGCCUUCGACGGUGUAGGGAUUUACUCCCGAAGCUGUUGAAGGUCGCAGGUAAUCGGUGGCUGCGUCUGUUUAUCAAAAACACAGGACUCUGCGAACACGCAAGUGGAAGUAUAGGGUCUGACGCCUGCCCGGUGCCGGAAGGUUAAUUGAUGGGGUUAGCCGCAAGGCGAAGCUCUUGAUCGAAGCCCCGGUAAACGGCGGCCGUAACUAUAACGGUCCUAAGGUAGCGAAAUUCCUUGUCGGGUAAGUUCCGACCUGCACGAAUGGCGUAACGCUGGCCACACUGUCUCGACCCGAGACUCAGUGAAGUUGAAAUCGCUGUGAAGAUGCGGCGUUCCCGCGGCAAGACGGAAAGACCCCGUGAACCUUCACUACAGCUUUACACUGAACUUUGAACCUUUCUGUGUAGGAUAGGUGGGAGGCUAUGAAACUUGGGCGCUAGCUCGAGUGGAGCCAACCUUGAAAUACCACCCUGGGAUGUUUGAAGUUCUAACCUUGGUCCGUAAUCCGGAUUGGGGACAGUGUAUGGUGGGUAGUUUGACUGGGGCGGUCUCCUCCCAAAGAGUAACGGAGGAGUGCAAUGGUACGCUCAGCGCGGUCGGUCAUCGCGCUCUAGAGUGCAAAGGCAUAAGCGUGCUUAACUGUGAGACAGACACGUCGAACAGGUACGAAAGUAGGUCUUAGUGAUCCGGUGGUUC
RNAcentral lists this ribosomal RNA (1310 nucleotides) under metagenome. RNAcentral's name for it is "bacterial LSU rRNA". It matches the Rfam family "Bacterial large subunit ribosomal RNA", at positions 1137 to 2429 of the family's 2925-position model. The record is from RNAcentral.